Molecule: non-coding RNA, 337 nt
Organism: Cyanistes caeruleus (blue tit)
Lineage: Eukaryota; Metazoa; Chordata; Aves; Passeriformes; Paridae
Source: RefSeq, a predicted model, not a curated record
GGAAGAGGAAGGUGGUGAAGAAGAGGAUGAGGAGGAAGAGGGUGAGGAAGAGGACGGUGAUGACGACGACGAAGCUGAGGGAGCCACAGGCAAACGGGCAGCUGAGGAUGAUGAGGAUGAUGACGUCGAUCCCAAGAAGCAGAAAACUGAUGAAGAUGACUAGGCAGCAAAUUAUUAUUAUUUUUUUUUUUUAAAUAAGGAGGAAAACAAACCAACAAAAAAGGCCAGCGCAUCCUCUUCACCCUUGGGUCCCCCCUUGGGACUCCCGUUGCAGCCCCCUUUCCCACACACACCCCCUUCCUCCCCCCUCCGCCGUGGUCAUCCUCACCAAGUAGAG